Long non-coding RNA from Vespa velutina, 5237 nucleotides. RefSeq lists it as uncharacterized. NCBI's taxonomy places the organism in Eukaryota, Metazoa, Arthropoda, Insecta, Hymenoptera, Vespidae. The transcript is spliced from 11 exons. The record is from RefSeq and is a predicted model, not a curated record.
GAGAGAGAGAGAGAGAGAGAGAGAGAGAAAGAGAAGAGAAAGAGAUAGAGAAAGAAAGAAAGAGAGAAAGAGAGAGAGAGAAAGUAUUUAGACAAAAGUAAGAAUGAAAUCUUUAGAAAUGAAUUGCUUGGAAUUUCUUUCGUACGUUUUCCCGACAAGUAUCUCGUGUAGAACGUUAAACAAAGAUUUUGACGUUCACUUGUUUAACGAACGAGGGAGCGGCUCUUUCAAACGUUUCGAUAAAAGUCGUCAUGGUUUAGUGUGUAUACGUGUGUCUAUCCUGUGUGUAUAAGUGUCCAUGGUAAGGUAAUAUACAUAGAACCCGAUAUAUAUGUCGUUCUACAAUAUUACCGUUAGAAACUUUUCACAAUAAACCGUAACCAUCUCUACCUACUGUGCUCUACACCUAUUCAAUGUAUUACCUAGAUAAAUUGAAAGCUUGUCACGACCACAGGAGGACUCUGUCGUAACAAAUCGAGAGUCGUCUCUUUUUAUCGUUUUCCACGUAGUUCGGACAAUGGAAUCUUUUUUCUUCUUCUUUUGCUGUGGUUUUUUUCUUUUUUCUUUAUCUUUUUCUUCUUCUUCUUCUCCUUUUUUUUCCCUCUUUUUCCUUUUUUUUUUUUUUUUUUUUUUUUUGUAUUACGCAUUAACGUCGUACACGAGUAGUAUUCUUAAAGUUUUAAUUUUUCACGUAAAAAUUUGUUCCCAAGAAAACACGAAGAUUCGCAUUGUACGUCGAAAUGACGAAUAUUUGACGGGACAUUUCAUUUUUCUUUUCUUUGUUUCUUCUUCUUCUUCUUCUUUCUUCUUUUAUUAAACGAUAUUUUUCACGAUCGUUUCUAACGAUCCUCACAUUCCCGCGAAAAUUCGUUCGAUACGAAAAUCAAAAGUUUCGAACUAACCUUAUUGUAUGUUGAAACGAAGAUAAUUUAACACGAAACUUCAUUUUUUUCUUUUCUUUCUUUCUUUUUUUUUUUUUUUUUCUCAAAUGCAUCGAUCGAUCAAAGCUAGCGAAGAAAAAUUUUCUUUUUCUUUUCUUUUCUCUCUCUCUCUCUCUCUCUCUCUUUCUCCUACACGUUUUAUCUUAAUAAAUACUUAAUCAUUUAUCCAAGAGUUCGAUAAAUAUAUUUUGCAAUAAUAUUUGCGUCAGAUUUUACGCGUUCUUACGGGAUACGCGAAAAAAGUAUCUGAGGUCAAGAUACAAUAUUACGUUAAUAGAUUUCAAUACUUGAUUAGAUUUCAUUAAAAAUAUUAUCACGAGACAUAUGUUUUUAUGCGAGUUAUAAUAUCUCAUUUCUUUUCGGCAAUGUUUCUUUUUGAUUGGUUAAAUCAUCUUUGUUUGAAUUUAAUUGGUAAGAUUGACUUUCACGAAUCAAUUAGAUAGUCGGGAGACGGUAGUGAACGCCAUCUAAGGAGAAUUUUCUAAAUCAAUGAUCGUCUUUUGUUUUCGAUCCUUCAUUUCUUCAACGACUCGAAAGCAGUUUUCAAAUAAUCCCACGAAAUUUUUGGAUUUCUUUUUCCAUAGAACGUAAGGACAGAAAAUGUGUUAAAGAAAUCAUCGAGUUUUCAAUCGUUCACACGAGAAAGGUUCGUUCGGAAAGUUUGAAAAGUUAGAAGUGGAUAUCGGAAUUUUCUCAGAAAGAGUAGAAGAAAAAAGAAAAAGAAGAAAAAAGGAAGACAUGGAAGAAAAAGAAGAAGAGGACGGAACAAAGUCUGAACGUUGAAUCAUAGAAAUAUAUAUUAUCAUCGUGAAGUCAAGGGAAUAUAUUUGAAAAUAGAAUGCAAUUGAAUAUUAUUAGACAUAUGAAUAAAUUUUACUGAGUAGUAAUUUCCCACUGUCUCGUCAUAGGGAAUUUGUUUGGCUCACGACUAUAGUUCACCUUGGACUGAAGGAAUGAUUUGUCGGAAAACGAUGGAGCUGAUAAAGCCGACAGGUAUACGAGAAUUCUAUAAAAAAAAAAAAGAAAAAAAAAAAAAAGAAAGAAGAAGAAGAAGAAGAGAAAAAUCUACAGUUCGGAAGAAUUCAAAAAAUUCUUGGAAAAAGAAAAAAUAAGGAGAACAGAGAGCCAUCACAAAAGAAAAUCAUAUUUUCCGUCUUUUCGUGAGAAGAAAAAAAUAAGGAUGGCCUUGUGAAAAAAAAAGUGCUUGGAAAACGGAGAAGACGAUUCUUUGGAGAUUAGACGACAGCAACGACUGGGACGACGAUGAUGAAGACGCCGACAAGUAAUAAUCUGAAGUUGUUUCUCCAAGAAACAGCUUCCCUCUUCCUCCCGCCUCUUGUCCCCUUCUCCUACCCUUAAACGUACCCCCAAAAAAGAGGGAAGAAAAAGAAGAACAAGAAGAAGAAGAAGAAGCUUUCUAUGAUGUUCCUUUUUUCGGCUCGUUUCCCUAUAUCAUAAGAAUAAUGAGCAAGUUCCAGGAGAGAAAAAGAGAGAGAGAGAGAGAGGGAGAGAGCAUGUGUGAUAAAAAGAUAACAACAUAUGCUUGGUAAAAACUUAUUGCUUUCUUGGAAUGUUAAAAAGCAGAAGAAAGAUGGAAAAUGUGUACAUAUGUGAUACGUGCAAGUUAAAUAGGCCAUUUCUUUCUCUCUCUCUUUCUCUCUCACAUUUACUCUGCACUCUUACAACAAUGAUUAACAUAGGAUAAAGAAAGACAGAGAGACAGAGACUACUCUUACGUGAGAAAGGAAAAAUUAUGCUGGCGAUAAUGAACGCUGGCGAUAAAUGAAGAGACAAAAGGAACAGAUAUAUUUUCAUCAAGAUUGAAAAUAUUAAUUAUUUGUCGAUCUUAUUUAAUUGUUAAACUAUAACAAAAAUAAUCACUCACUUGUAUCUUCCCUUAUUCUUACUGACGACAAAUGAACGGAAGAUAAACUAAAAAAAAAAAGAAGAAAAAGAAACCAAGAGAGAUAAAAUUUGGAUUAAAAUUGAAAUGAAAUAAUGUAACAUAGUCUCUCGUCAAAAUACAAUUGUGCAAUACAGAUUUAUUCGAAGAAAAGUAUCGAUCAAUUAAAGAGACAUUAAUCGUUCUAUUUCAAUUGUAUCUAAUUGAGAUCAAAAAUAUUGAAAGUAAAGGAAAGAAUGGGAAUGAAUAUAUAAAAAUGUUAUCGUGCAAAUUGAAAAUCGAUAAUUACGAGAAAAUAUUGUAAAACAGUGUACAAAUCGAACGUUAGUGGGUUCCUGUUUUCUAAUGUAUUUUCCACGUAUUUUAACGACGAGAGUAUCGCGUACGACGAGUGUCACGCGAAGCUCUUUUUCUUUCUAAGAAAAACAAAUAACAAAACGAACGAACGAACGAACGAACGAAGAAAAAGAAAGAAGGGAAGAAAAGGAUAUUAAAACAAAAAAAAGAAAAAGAAAGAAAGAAAGAAAAAUGAACGACCAAGAAGAGGGUUAUUGUAAAAUUGUAGCAGAGUGAUGUUGAUGGUGGACAGGAUUGAUAUAACGGUGGUGGGGGUGGUGAUGGAGGUGGUGAUGAUGGGAGGUGGUAGUAAUGGUGGUGACAGCAGCAGGGUCGUUCCGUGUACACAUACGUUAUAAAGUGAAAGCAACAUGCACCGUUCGAGUUCCUCGAAAUCGAUCGGUAAUUUCCGGGGAGAGGUGACUUCACUCAGGGAUUCCAUCGAAGUCACGCUUUCUCGUUUCGUUUAAUAUACAUACACGUGUAUAAUGUAUACGUGUGUGUAUAUACCUGAAUAAUCCUACGUGAUAUAAAUCGACGAAGAAACAACGUUCGAAAUACUUAUGUACAUAUAUAUAUAUAUACAUAAAUAUAUCCAUAAAAACCUGAAGGAAAAGGAUGGACUAUACGACUUUAUGGGAUUCGUUAUCACCGGAAGUAACGUUAACUAGAACACUAAUAAGAAUAUCUAAAACAUAAGCUUCAGAAAAAGAAUAGAGAUUGGAAUAAUCAGAGGUCAGAUGUCAACGCGGAUGUGUAAUUCCCCCUUCCGUAUUAACACGGUGGAGUUACACGGUAAAAUCUACAAGGGUUUGAAGGAGUACUUUUAAAUCAUGUAGAAGUGUCCUCUUCUUUUGAAGGAAGGAAGGAAGGAUAGAAGAAAGGAAAUGAAGAAAACAAAAACAAUAAAAACAAAAAAAAAAGACAAAAAGGAAGAAGAAAUAAAGUGCGAGUUGAGGGAUGUCAACUAAGAGAAGGGUAAACACAAAAAAAAGAAUGAAAGGGAGAACGAAAGAGAGAGAGAGAGAGAAAGAAAGAGAGAGAGAGAGAGAGAAAGAAAGAGAGAGAGAGAGAGAGAGAGAGAGAGAGAGAAGAAAGGGAAAAAAAGAAGCACUUAAAAAAAAGGGUAAGAAACGAAGUACGUCCUAGUACAGAUGGAGGAAAGGCUCCUAUUAUUGUAAUACAUAUAUCAGUGUGUUAUGGACCCAUGGCGGCGCGUCAUCUACACUUAUGAACGACGACGACGACGACGACGACGACGACGACGACGACGGCGGCAACGACAACGACGUGCCAGUAAGUGGAGAGUUAAAACUCUCCGGCUCGGAGUCACGAAACGGCACGAAGUAGCACGAGAGAAGAGUUGCAAAAGAGAACGAAGCGAAUUCACAUUCGCAUCUCUCACGAAGAAUCCCUGCCCUGAAAGUUCCUACCGCACAAAUCCUUUACUUCACCUCUAUCUCUACCUCUUCCUCCUCCUCCUCUUGCUCCUCCUCCUUUUCUUCUUUCUUUUUCUCUUCAUCCUCUUCCUCCUCAUUAUUUUCAUCUAACCCCAGAGCUAAUCUCUCGAUUAUUAUUAUAUCAUUGUUCUUUUUAAUAAUGAAAUCUAAUUAUAUUCGUUCAUCUGACGUAUAGUUAUAGAUUUUUCAUUUAUUCGAGAACAAUUGUUACAAUUUUGUUUCGUUUGCACAUUCCUAAAUCAAUAAAUUAUAUUUCUUUUUAUUUCUUCUUACUUUUUGUUUUCUUUUAUAGGUUGUUGGUUUAUUUAUCUAUUUAUUUUUUGUAUAGGUUAGCAAAUAAAGUGUAUCACAAUACAAGGGACACCCUUUUUUAAGGAAAUUAUUACAUUUCUCAUUCAUUCGACAAUCGUAUAAUUUAAUAUACAUAAGUGUUUAUCUGAUGUUUAUAUUAUGUUUUAUUCUGAUGUUUGUAUUGUUUCUUUUUUCGUUUUUUCUUUUUCUUUUUUGUAGGUUAACAAACAAGAUGGAUAAGAAAGGGACGCCAUUUUUUAAAGGAUUAAUACUUUUUGUAUUAGAUCGUUCAAUUAAUUUCAUUUC